This 349-nucleotide ribosomal RNA is filed under the name uncultured Comamonadaceae bacterium. Its description in RNAcentral is "bacterial SSU rRNA". It matches the Rfam family "Bacterial small subunit ribosomal RNA", at positions 1 to 355 of the family's 1533-position model. Lineage: Bacteria; Pseudomonadati; Pseudomonadota; Betaproteobacteria; Burkholderiales; Comamonadaceae. The record is from RNAcentral.
CUCGGAGUUUGAUCCUGGCUCAGAUUGAACGCUGGCGGAAUGCUUUACACAUGCAAGUCGAACGGUAGAGGGGGCAACCCCUUGAGAGUGGCGAACGGGUGAGUAAUAUAUCGGAACGUGCCCAGUCGUGGGGGAUAACGUAGCGAAAGUUACGCUAAUACCGCAUACGAUCUAAGGAUGAAAGCGGGGGACUCGUAAGGGCCUCGCGCGAUUGGAGCGGCCGAUAUCAGAUUAGGUUGUUGGUGAGGUAAAACGCUCACCAAGCCUGCGAUCUGUAGCUGGUCUGAGAGGAUGAUCACGCCACGACUGGGGACUGAGACACGGCCCAGACUCGUACGGGAGCAGCAGU